CUUCAGUGAUGCUAAUUACACAUCCUCUCCCUAACAAAUGGCCGGGUAUUCUGCGCAUCAGAGCCAGAGGGCCCUUUAAUCCCACCAUCGAGACGCAGAGGUGUUUCUACUCCAAAGGCCAAAUACGGUGUCGCCAAACUCCGGGGAAAGAACACAAGGAAGACGCGUUGUCAGGGGCAACCGAGCUCCACUUCCAUCGUGAAUCACGGUGGCCUCAUUCUGACAGGUCCCGCUGCAGCCCAGCCCUGAUCAUGGCAGUGACUCAGCUCUGAUGAGACUUCAGAUGCUGUUUUUAAGGUGGGGGGAGCAAGGAGACCCAGAAAGGCUUUAUUAUGUUUUCCUAAAUUUUAAUAGCCUGAACUAAAUCUCCACUUCGACACCAAAUUGUGGAAAAGUUACCCUGCCCCUGAAAUUACGUAACCGACACAGUUUACUGUUUAAUAUCACAGCUUGCCCGUUUAAGUCACAAACCACUGCCGGGGUGAAGUCUGGAAAAGGGGGCAGGGGUGGAAGAGCCUGGAAUCAAGAGCGAUGCAGAGGAAGGAACACUAGCUCAAGGCUCGGGCGCAUGCCCUUCGUAAUGAUUCUAAACUCUUAUUCUUGGACAAAGGCUGAGGGCUCUCAGGUGCCCCCCUCGACCCCGGGUGGUUUCUGCCACCAGCGUCCCCUCGCCACCUCUGGUAGAGGCCGCCAUCGGGCUGCGGGACUCUCCAGGGGACACUCCGCUCCAGCAGCACUCGGCCAGCGGAGCGUCUGUACGCGUCACACCGGCCUCUGUACACACACGCUUGCUUCUCUGCACAAGCCCUUCUUGGACAGUCUUUCCCGGAGCAAACCCUCUUCCAGGCUGGACGGCCUGGGAAGAAACCACCCCGAACUGGCCCCCGUGAUUCUGCGAGAAGGGGGACAGGAAAGGCGGGGCCCCCACGCAGCAGAGGGUCUGCUCCUGGCCACCCCGGACCGGAGACUCCUCUCUGAGCCCAAAGCAAGACCCAGGCGGAACCCCGGCCAGGGCGGCCUUCCUCUUUCAGACCCGCACGAACCCACGUCCAGAACCACUCAGGAGCCAGAACUUGGCAGCAAACGUGUCCAACGCCGGGGACAGGAAGGAUGGAGACGGGCGGGUCUGCUGGGAAAGCUCCGGCCCGGGGCCGGCUCUUCUCCCCCAGGACCGCGUGGACGCGGCAACAGCCUCCUCCUCAGCCGCCGGCCAGCAAUGGGCCCAGCGAGUUCAACUUAACUCUACCAGACAUGGUGCAAAUGAAUUGUAUUUAACUCCAUCAGCCACCUGAGGGUUUGUCUCGAGAUGGAAUAAUUUUAGCUUAUGCUGCCAUAAGUCCCUAACUAAGGCGGAAAGUAAUUACCUAAGGAUUUACCAUAAUGAGUUCACUGACACUCGUGAUUUAUGACAGUGUGUGAACAUGCAAAUCUCCAGACUGCAGCAUCCCAGGCCUGGGUGGGCACAAGGAGGACAGGAAAAAUUAACGUGUUUUAGGCACGUAUAAACUCAUGAAGCCACCUGAGUUCAGAGUCUUUCUUAAGGACUAAUAAUUGCAGAGGGGCCUGGUCGAAGUUUACACUGUCAGAACAGGGCCUGUUAAGGAAAUGAACUAUGUACAGCAGACAGGAAACGUUCUCAGAAAAUACGCUGCCUGGAAACAAUUAAAAAGUGGGCUUUUUUUUAAAAAAAAUGCAGAGUUCCUGCUCAGCAGGUUAAGAACACGACUAGCCUCCUGGUUUGAUCCCUGGCCUCGCUCAGAGAGUUAAGGAUCCAGUGUUGCCGUGAACUUCAGUGUAGCUUGCAGACGUGUCUAGGAUCUGGUGUUGCUGUGGCUGUGGUGCAGGCCUGCAACUGCAGCUCCCAUUUGACCUCCUAGCCUGGGAACGUCCAUAUGCAGCAGGUGCAGCCACAAACAAACAAACAAACAAAAAGAAAUCGGGCUUCAGUGCGGCUCAUGCUAAGAAGAAAGCAUAUUUACCCAUCAAAGCGGCACUUAGUAGCAUGUGGCUGGGGGAACGGUCCGUGUGUCUGAAAGUACCUACAAGUAAUAGCAACCUGUCCAAAAUGCCGCUCCUUAUAAAAUGUCCUGAUCUUCCACAUUUCAUUUAUUCUGAACCAUCUCCCCAUUGAAACAAUUCUCAUGCAGGCACUUGUGCCUCAUGCAUUUAGGAUGCACCAGCUGUGGGCCCAGCACUCUGGGUAUAAAGAGGGUAAGAUUUCUGCGUCUCCAAGCGGAGUAGGAGGAAGCCCCGGAUCACGUGGUUUUCUGGGUCUGGGACCUGCACUGACGGGGGAGGGGCACUGCCUUCAAAGGCAAAGUCUCUGGUCCUGGUCGUUAUUGGUCUGUGGUUCAAGGUGAGAAGUCUAACGAGGACUUGACCAGGGACCAGCCUACGGCUGACGGGCCACCCAACGCCUUCUGCGCCCACGUGCUCAGGUGCUGUCUCCCGCAUGGAGGUACCUGCCAGGAACCUGCCACAUUUAAUGUGGAUACAUGGUCUCCAAAGCCUCGUGCUUUCACAGGUUGCCUCAUUCUACUAAAGAUUUAAAGAGGUUUAGGAAAGAAAUGACACAGUAAAAUAAUGUUGGAACCUAAAUUAAAAUAAAGAAUCAACGUGGGGGUGGGGUGUUACUUCU
This 2638-nucleotide long non-coding RNA is filed under the name Sus scrofa (pig). Its description in RNAcentral is "lncRNA (ENSSSCG00065073016.1)". The record is from RNAcentral. Lineage: Eukaryota; Metazoa; Chordata; Mammalia; Artiodactyla; Suidae.